RNAcentral lists this long non-coding RNA (702 nucleotides) under Homo sapiens (human). RNAcentral's name for it is "HSALNT0025246". The record is from RNAcentral. Lineage: Eukaryota; Metazoa; Chordata; Mammalia; Primates; Hominidae.
CUGAGGGCUUCGCCGCGCUGCACGCGGACGACUCUGGCCUGGAGAGGGGGUGUGGCGCGAGCUGGCCUUGGCCUCUCCUUGCGUGGGAUCGGGCCCCUCGCCCCCCGCCGCCCGUUUCUUCCUGCGCCUGGGCCCCGCGGGGUCUCCGGAGCACCCCGUCAUCGCUCCCUCUCCGAUCGCCCCCCGCCCCAGUCCCCCGGCGCAGCGCCCAGGAGCGCAGGAAGCCGGCGUAUGCCAGGCUCCACACGUGGCUGCUCUGGGGUGUCAUUUUUCAUUUCACGGGAGGACAUUUCUUCUGGUGAGCCAGCAGGUCUGUUUUGUUGUGACCUUUAAUUAACACCCCGCGAGACGCCUCUGGAAGGACUGGCCGGGCGCAGGGAUCACGUGGGGUGUAACGGCAUCUCCGCGCCCGCGGGGAGACCCAGCCCGGGGGUGGGCGAGGGCGCGAAGGACGUUCAGGGCUUUCUGGUCGCUGACUUCCUUCUGAGCUGUGGACGACGCAGGAGGGGGCAAGAAGACAAAGGUUCGGGGUUCUGGAAGCCUGGGGCCACGCCCCCACUCUGCCUUCCUCGGGGACAAUUUCUUCUGUGCCUCCCGUGCUCUGCCCCACUCCUCCCCGCUCCAGCUCCUGCGCGGGAAUAUUUCACAGCCACCAAAGCGAGCCACCCGUGAGGGAGGCAGCCUCCUCGCUCCCACAGGAAG